UUAUCUGUCACACUAUAUAAAAAAUUGUAAUUCACUAAAUAAACUUUUUUAUUUAAUGAAUUAUAAUUUUUUGAUUUACCUAAAUAAAAUCUAUUAGAUAAUACCUAUGUUUGAAAAUCACAAAAAAAUAAGCAUGAAUAUUGAUUUUGGAUUAUUAUUGAAACUGUACUGGUUUUCAUAAAUUAAGGAACAAACAGAAAAUGAUAAAAACUUUUUAAAAAGUAGCUGAAUAUACCUGAAUUUAAUAUGCUAGGUAGCCAUAAAAUAACAACAGGGCUUGUAUUCAGAGCCCUGUUGCGCAUCAUAUAUUGGACGAAACAUAACAAAAUUAGGUGGACAUACACAGUGGAACAUGCAAUUUUGAAUUCGAAAGAAAACAAAUUUAAUAUCAAAAGUCACCAACGGGAAUUGUGGUGCUGUAAAAGUGUAGAAUGUGUGAUUAAGGAAUGUAUAAUCACCAAAUGAAAAGCACACAUCAAGUUUCUGAACAAUAUAUGGCAAUAUUUAUUGUUAAUUAUACAUGAGGUUCAAUAUGAU
RNAcentral lists this long non-coding RNA (537 nucleotides) under Androctonus crassicauda. Lineage: Eukaryota; Metazoa; Arthropoda; Arachnida; Scorpiones; Buthidae. The record is from RNAcentral.